This is a long non-coding RNA of Xenia sp. Carnegie-2017, 1370 nucleotides long. RefSeq lists it as uncharacterized. The record is from RefSeq and is a predicted model, not a curated record. The transcript has 2 exons. NCBI's taxonomy places the organism in Eukaryota, Metazoa, Cnidaria, Anthozoa, Malacalcyonacea, Xeniidae.
GCAACGGUGGUUUAAAAAUACCAACUGACGAUCUUCUGAAAGUGUGUCAGGAAACAGAGAAAUGUGUAAUGAGGAUGGUAAAUUCCUGCCAUGGUGGCUUGCCACAUGCAGCAGCAAACAUAUCGAGUGCAAUUGCUGCGACGGUAUUAUCUGUGUGUGUAGAGAAAAAAGUUUUUAGCAUGUUAGAUGAGCAUGUGUUAGAGUCGACAGUUACAGAUAAUCAUGCUUAUAAACUGAUAAAGUGUUGUGCUGAGGCAUUUGUGAAAAUAAGAAUGCAUCACUUGACCAAAACGCAAAACGAUAAGUUGCAGGGUCAGAAAAUUCGUAAAAAGCUGUCUAAGCUUGUGUUGUUCAAUCAUCAGUAGAUUGAACGUUGCCUGGACACUAUUGUGUUUUCGAGGCUUUGCCUGUGCCUAGAAAUGGAAUUUUUCAUUUGACUAUUCCAUUUUUUUGAGGCUGUAGGCGUCCUGGCACAUAGCAAUAUGUGUUUCGAGGAGAAAUUUAAUGGUGCCUGCACAUUUGUGUUCGAGGCUUAAAAAUGUAACAUGAAAUUAUAACCUAGUUUACGUAACUAAACAAUUAAAAAGAAUGAGAAGUAAUUCGAAAUGCAAGUCUUCUAUGUGAGUAUUCCUCUACAACAUAGUACAAUAUAGAACAACAAUAGCACAAUAUUCAUUUUGAACUAUUUUUUAUAGAGAAAAAAAUACUCAACAAAACAGCCCAAUUGGACGACAUAAGAAAACUAUUUUGUGGUCGUAACAUUGAUAGCACUUUCAAUCAGAUCGAGCGUUGUAGUGACAUUAUGAAUAUUGCCGGGAUGAUCUGCAUGCGGAAGUCCUUGAACAACGUUCAUGAUGCGUAACAUUUUAUCUUUAACAUUUUUUUGUACCUUAUAGUUCAAUGAGUUCACAUUGUUUAUAUAGUUUCUUGACUUGUAAAAAGCCAAUGGUUAAACUUCGAAUAACUUGAAAAAAAAUUUAGAAGAAUUUUACUUGAAUGCAGGGGUGUGACUUGAGUCCCGAGAAUGGAGAGGGGAAACGUUGCAGAAUUUGAUUUGCCCAACAAAAACGUAGUGUAAUUUUUUAUGUUAAUACCAGCAAAAUCGCUUUUUACUUAGUUAUGAGUUGAUCCAAACGUCAUCGUUAAUAUUUGCCGUUUUAAUUUCCGCAAAAUUACAUGCUUUGCUCGACAAAACUGCUAACUUUUUGAAAGGGAGAGGCUGAGCCACCACAUAUCAAUCCCCUCUCCAGGAUUUACACCCCUGUUUCAACGUUACUGAUACAGCAAUUAACGAUUUGUGCACGCUAAAUUUACAUGUAUAUUAUCAUGGGAAUCAUCUCUUACAAACUAUAAAAAACUUUAAAAUUCAA